This 253-nucleotide ribosomal RNA is filed under the name uncultured bacterium. RNAcentral describes it as "partial 16S ribosomal RNA". It matches the Rfam family "Bacterial small subunit ribosomal RNA", at positions 524 to 776 of the family's 1533-position model. The record is from RNAcentral.
UACAGAGGUCUCAAGCGUUGUUCGGAUUCAUUGGGCGUAAAGGGUGCGUAGGCGGCUUGUCGCGUCGACUGUGAAAUCCCGGGGCUUAACUUCGGGCGUGCAGUCGAUACGGGCUGGCUUGAGUGCGGUAGGGGAGACUGGAAUUCCCGGUGUAGGGGUGAAAUCCGUAGAUACCGGGAGGAAUACCAGUAGCGAAGGCGGCCUUCUGGACAGUGACUGACGCUCAGACGCGAAAGCGUGGGGAGCAAACAGG